UCCGGCUUAUCACCGGCAGUUUCUUUAGAGUGCCCAACUAAAUGAUGGCAACUAAAGACGAGGGUUUCGCUCGUUAAGGGACUUAACCCGACAUCUCACGACACGAGCUGACGACAGCCAUGCAGCACCUGUACCAGUUCCACCCCUUGCGGGGCGUACCCAACUUUCAUGGGGAUAAUCCUGGCAUGUCAAGCCCAGGUAAGGUUCUGCGCGUUGCUUCGAAUUGAACCACAUGCUCCACCGCUUGUGUGAGCCCCCGUCAAUUCCUUUGAGUUUUAGCCUUGCGACCGUACUUCCCAGGCGGUCGACUUAGCACUUUUGCUUCGACCGUGAAACCGUCAGAGGCUCCACGAUCUAGUCGACAUCGUUUACGGCCAGGACUA
Molecule: unclassified non-coding RNA, 383 nt
Filed under: uncultured Tepidisphaerales bacterium
Lineage: Bacteria; Pseudomonadati; Planctomycetota; Phycisphaerae; Tepidisphaerales
Description: contains 16S-23S intergenic spacer region
Source: RNAcentral